GAACGCAUCUUGCGCUCCUUGGUAUUCCGAGGAGCAUGCCUGUUUGAGUGUCAUUUUGAACUAUCAAAGCCCCACGUUUUGACGUGGCUUUGGACUUGAGGGCUUUUGCAGGCUUUUGAUCAGAAAGCCUGCUCCCUUGAAAAUCAUCAGUGGUAUCUGGAGCGGAAACCGCUAGGUGUUGAUAACAUUCAUCUAUGCCUUUGGGUAUGCCGCGUAAAAUGUGCUGCUUCCAACGCCCCAUGCUCUUUGACAAACUUGACCUCAAAUCAGGUAGGACUACCCGCUGAACUUAAG
RNAcentral lists this unclassified non-coding RNA (294 nucleotides) under Inocybe nemorosa. RNAcentral describes it as "sequence contains 5.8S rRNA gene". The stretch from base 1 to 53 matches the Rfam family "5.8S ribosomal RNA", at positions 102 to 154 of the family's 154-position model. Lineage: Eukaryota; Fungi; Basidiomycota; Agaricomycetes; Agaricales; Inocybaceae. The record is from RNAcentral.